UACGUAGGGUGCAAACGUUGUUCGGAAUCACUGGGCAUAAAGAGCGCGUAGGCGGUCUGACAAGUCCCCUGUGAAAGCCCCCGGCUUAACCGGGGAACUGCAUGGGAUACUGUUGGGCUAGAGUGCAGGAGGGGAGAGCGGAAUUCCUGGUGGAGCGGUGAAAUGCGUAGAUAUCAGGAGGAACACCGGUGGCGAAGGCGGAUCUCUGGGCCUUACCUGACGCUGAGGCGCGAAAGCUAGGGGAGCAAACAGG
RNAcentral lists this ribosomal RNA (253 nucleotides) under uncultured bacterium. RNAcentral's name for it is "partial 16S ribosomal RNA". It matches the Rfam family "Bacterial small subunit ribosomal RNA", at positions 524 to 776 of the family's 1533-position model. The record is from RNAcentral.